CUAAAAGAAGUAGUGGCUUGUGCCUGCAAUUCCUGGUAAUUCAUACACUGAUAGAUAUGACUCAUUCCAUAUUUUUUGUUUAUGUUUUUAUAUUCAAUUUCCUUAGAUCUGUGUCAUUGUGUAGUUGAACUUUAAAUCCUUAGGAAUGAAUUACUUUUAUAAAAAAAAAACCUAAAGUUACUUGGCUCAAUACUGGUAGCCAGAAAGUUGGAACCAUUUGCCCUAAUAUCUAAUAGCACAGAAGCACAAGGACUAGCCUUAUGCACACAGAGCCCAAUAGGAGGUCAGAAGCCAGCAAACGGCGAGAAGUCAAUUCUUGAGUAAAUGAAUCUAAGCUUAGGAGACUUGAUGCACUUCCUAGAACAGCAGUAAUCUUUCCCUUAGAGUGGACUUAAUUACCUUCACAGGGUAUCUAUCCUGAAGGGGCUCAGUGGACCUUGAAAUGGAACCUUUCAAGAUAAAUCACAUCCAAGCCACAGUGGCACUGAUGUGUGUGUGUGUGUGUGUGUGUGUGUGUACACAUGUACAUAUGAUAUAUUGGACACUGUGUCUUACAAUCUGUUUUACUCUCCAAAUAACUGAAAUGCUACCAUUGAUCUGUUUUACACACACACACACACACACACACACACACACACACAUUUAUGUCUCUGCAUACCUACACAGCUCCUACAUACAGAUAUUCUUUAUCUUCCAUAGAUUUUUUUCUUCUAGGCAUUGAAAUAGGGCAGGUAGCUCUUGUUCCUUCAUGCAGCAGGUGUCAGAGCUUCACCAAGCCAGACAAUAUCAGUAAGUAUUUGAUAGUGUCUAGAAAAUGAGUCUUAACUUUUUUAAAGAUUUAUUUAUUGUAAUAAACACACACACACACACACACACACACACACACACACACACACUAUAGCUGUCUUCAGAUGUACCAGAAGAGGGUGUCAGAUUUCAUUACAGAGCCACCAUGUGGUUUCUGGGAUUUGAACUCAGGACCUUCGGAAGAGCAGUCAGUGCUCUUAACUGCUGAGCCAUCUCCAGCCCAGUUUUAACUUUUCUUAUUCCACCCAAGUCAUGAUCCUACAUUUUAUAUUCCAGUGUAUUCUCUCAUCCAGCACAAAUGUGGAAUAUAUUAUCUAUCAGUUAGCUUUAGGGUUUUGUUUGGUUUCUCUGAUCCCAGAGCUUUAUUCUGUAAUUAAUAACUCAUAACUCAUAUGUUCGUCUAACUUAGAGGCAAGUUUUGUAGUUCCCCAAGGCAUAGGCUGUAUGAAUUGAAGCACUUUAAAAGUUGGGAAGCUGGAUAGCUCUUUAGUAUAGCUAAGGAGGGUAGUUCCAAUAUCUAGUUUAUAGCUCUGGUAAGCUUUGCGAGCCUUGCCAGGAAAUAUUGGGUCAGAAUAUAAGCCCUGGUCAGAAACACAUGUAUCCCCUCCACACACAGUAAUCCCAAACGCAAGUCCUCCAUUCCAGUAGGAGCAGCUUGCACAAUCUAGAUGAUCAUUAUAUUCUCAAAAGAAGAAUCAGCUAAUUGACAAAGAGAAAACAAAACUUUCCCAAGCAAAGCUUUUAAAAGUAUUGGAUCAACAAAGCAGAAAAAAAAAAAAAAAAAAAAGAAAAAAAGAAAAAAAACGGUCUUAAGUGAAUGUCAAAGCACUCAAAAUUCUUGUUCUUAAACUUUAUCUUUUAGAAAUCCUGCCUUGAGCCAAAGACCCAUUUUUUCCCCCUCACUCUUUAAACCAGUUUAGAUAUUUAUACUGGCAACACAGUAAUGUAUGAGACAGGAAUUGAAAUAGCUAAUAUUUGAAGCUUUUAAAUAUAAGGUGGUUUUGGUGGUUUGAAUAUGCUUGGCCCAUGGGAAGUGGUGCUAUUAAGAGGUGUGGCCUUGUUGGAGGAAGUGGGUCACUGUGUAGUUGCACUUUGAGGUUUUCUGCUUAAGCUCUACUGAGGGUGGAAAAGAUUCAGGGUAGAAAACAGAGUCCUCUCCUGGCUGCCUUUGGAUCAAGGUGUAGAACUCUCUGCUCCUCCAGCACCAUGUCUGCCUGGAUGCCGCCGUGCUUCCUGCUGAGACCAAGCAUCUGGAACUGUAAGCCAGUUCCAAUUAAAUGCUUGCUUUUGUAAGAGUUGCCUUGGUCAUGGUGUCUCUUCACAGCAAUGAAACCCAACUAAGAGAGUGGUUGAUGAAAAUAGAUAUGAGAGGUCUUGAAUGAGAUGGUUAUGACAGAGGUAGGUAAAUUAACAUGGUGUGAUAGUCAGAGCUAUUUAGAAGCUGGUAGAAUGAAUAUAUAUUUGAAAUGGGCUGUACAUCUCUCUGACUGUGGAGUGCAAAAUGGCUGGCUGUGUGUCAGAGGCUGAAAACUCGACGGCUGCUCAGUCCAUGAAUCUGGGUGACUCAGGGGUUCCAACCCGGUGCUGAAAGCCUAGAGAAUUUCCUGGAAAUCCACAGGUCCUCAGUGCAAUGAAAGGCCGGAGAAGCUGGGUUCUGAAGCAAAGGGUGGCAGCGGUGGACUAGCCUGCUUUCUACAUAAUGAAUCACUUCUGGCUGUUUUCUCACAUCUGGAAUCCCACCUCUUGAUAAAGAUUGAAUUCAAGAUGUCAGUCUUGGCAGUGUGUACCUUCAUUCACUGAUCCACCACACUUCCCCCAGCUGGAAAUUUAGUGAGACAUUGCAUCAUACACAAGAAACCUGAACCCUGAGAACACUUCAUCCUUAAGACCAGUCCAUCCACCCUUCUGGGUUUCAUGCUGUUUGAGCCUCCUUGUGACACCUAUUGGCUUGGCUUGACCUAUAUAGUUUCCUGGAUCCACUAUUCCAAUCUAGCUUUUUGCUGAAGAAUUUUUUCCCCUCACAGUUCACAAAUUCAGAUGUGCCAAGAUAUGGCUUUAUUCUCAUACAAUUGUACUUACUUCCUUUUUUGGGUCAUGAAUUUUCCCUAUAGAUAGAAAUUUGGCUUUAUGUUAAGGUCUUUCCUUGUCCACGUCAUUCUUCCGGGGACACAUUGAAAAGCAGGUGACUGUUAGGGUAGAUUGAGUUCAGUUUGAGUUGUAUUUGACCCAUUUGCAUUCUCUGACUUCUUCCCUCUGUUCUUUGGUUUAAAUAAAGGUGUUUUAUCAUGGUGAAA
Molecule: long non-coding RNA, 3101 nt
Organism: Apodemus sylvaticus (European woodmouse)
Lineage: Eukaryota; Metazoa; Chordata; Mammalia; Rodentia; Muridae
Exons: 2
Source: RefSeq, a predicted model, not a curated record